RNAcentral lists this transfer-messenger RNA (172 nucleotides) under Methylobacterium sp. WL7. It matches the Rfam family "Alphaproteobacteria transfer-messenger RNA", at positions 68 to 185 of the family's 355-position model. From Rfam's summary of the family: Bacterial tmRNA, also known as 10Sa RNA or SsrA, is named for its dual tRNA and mRNA-like properties. Its role is to liberate the mRNA from a stalled ribosome. To accomplish this part of the tmRNA is used as a reading frame that ends in a translation stop signal. The record is from RNAcentral. Lineage: Bacteria; Pseudomonadati; Pseudomonadota; Alphaproteobacteria; Hyphomicrobiales; Methylobacteriaceae.
CGGUUCAUAAUAACGUUUCAGGACCCGGGGGCGGUACCCGGCGCCUCCACCAGAAACAUCCUGACCGGUGGUUUUCACGGGGCAGCGCAGACGGCCCUCAUCGGGCGCCGAUUGCGGUCAGGGUGUUUCUGCUGGGGGCGAAGUUAGGUUCGACUGGACGGUAAAGGGACCG